RNAcentral lists this long non-coding RNA (599 nucleotides) under Anser brachyrhynchus (Pink-footed goose). Its description in RNAcentral is "lncRNA (ENSABRG00000003323.1)". Lineage: Eukaryota; Metazoa; Chordata; Aves; Anseriformes; Anatidae. The record is from RNAcentral.
AAAGAUAAUAACUUUUAAUAUUUUUUUUUCUAAAUCAGCUUUGCACUUAGAUGAUUUUAGACUGAUGUCUAUAUUUCUCUUAUCAUGGACUUCAGUCGAGCCAGUCAAGAUACAAAAAUAUGCUAUCAUGGUAGGAGGAUGGCCUAAGAAACUGAGGAAACAACAACUUCUGGAGAAAUCUUUCAGUCAGCUGUGCAUGCAUCAGUACUUCAGGUGUCUUCUUCAUGACUCAAAACACCGCAAACUUCAGUGCACCUUAAACUACCCUUUGGGCAUGGUGACACACAAUGUUCUGGGCCACCUGGAAACAGAAGCAUUACAAAGCAUCAGCAACCAUCUAUUACAUCUGACAUCAGUGAACUGCAACAAGAAAAGUGUUUGGGGAAGAAGGGAGAAGAGGAUGUUCUUAACAGAAGAUUUUGCGUCAAAGAUUAUGUCCUGCUUUUUUUCAUCAGCUGAAUUGUAAGUACAAAGUGAGGGUGGGCAUUUUAUUUUCAGCUGCAGUGUGUAUUCUUUAAAAAAGAAAGGAUAAGAAAGUCCUGUCAUUGUUCAGCCUACAAAGUCUGAUCAUCCCUAGCAAAAUUACAGGCUAAUCAAGG